AGUCGUAACAAGGUUUCCGUAGGUGAACCUGCGGAAGGAUCAUUAACGAAGAGUUGGUUGUUAGGGGUUGUUAGGUGGUAGAUUUGAUGUCUGGAUUUGGAAACAAUUGAUAUCCAGAUAAUAUCCGAAUAUCAAAUCUGGCUAUCAAAUCCAGACAUCAAAUCUAUACCAUAUCCCUUUUCCUAACAUAUCACAAGUGCUUUUAGUAUCGAAUAGAUACUAAUGCGCGAAACAAAAAAUAUAUAUGUAUAUAUGUGUAUCCGUGUGUGUAUAUAUAUGUAUCGUGUAUAUAUGUAUCAUCAUGUAUCCGUGUAUAUCUAUAUAUAUAUAUAUAUAUAAUCAUUAUUAUUAUCGUUAUCAUUAUCAAUACAAUUAACUAAACAAACAAACAACUUUUAACAAUGGAUCUCUAGGCUCUU
RNAcentral lists this unclassified non-coding RNA (419 nucleotides) under fungal sp. RNAcentral's name for it is "partial internal transcribed spacer region". The stretch from base 1 to 45 matches the Rfam family "Eukaryotic small subunit ribosomal RNA", at positions 1787 to 1831 of the family's 1831-position model. Lineage: Eukaryota; Fungi. The record is from RNAcentral.